Leopardus geoffroyi (Geoffroy's cat) is the source of this 1465-nucleotide long non-coding RNA. RefSeq lists it as uncharacterized. Lineage: Eukaryota; Metazoa; Chordata; Mammalia; Carnivora; Felidae. The record is from RefSeq and is a predicted model, not a curated record. The transcript has 2 exons.
AGUAUUAAACAGCAUAAAGAAAAAAACCCCAAAUAUGUAUAUAUGUGUUAAUAUAGCUGUUUUUUUCUUUAAAUAAAUUCUUAAUGUUAACUGGACAUAGAGUGUGGUCAUAUUUAAAGAUUUGGAAAAAACUGACAAAUUGUAUUUUUUAAUGGCCGAAGGACAUGAAUUUAAAAAAAUGACAGACUAGAAAUGCAAAUAGGGCUUUAUUAAAUUUUAAACGGCAGGUCAUUUUUAACUGUCAAAUAGAACUUUGUGCAUUCAUUCAAGUGCUGGCCAUGUAUCAGACACCAAGCAACUGCCCCUCACUCCCCGCCCCCCAAACAAUGAAAGAAAAAACACAAUAGAUAUGGCCUCAUGGAACUUUUAGUCCCAAGGAAAUACACCAUUUAUUGAACCCUUUUUGUGUGCCGGGAGUACACGAAGCACUUACAAACACUAUUGCAUCUAUUCUCAAAACUCUAUGAGGUGGGUAUUUUUACCUACUGAAUGAGGAAGCAGAUGUUCAGAGACUGACUUGUAUGAGUCACAUGGCUAUACAGGCUGUGGGUGGAAGUCCAACUCUGACUAAUUCCAAAGAUCUCACCAUUAGCUUCUGGGUGAAGGAAUAUUGGAAAGCCUAAAAUCAAUGGAGGAAACUUUUUUCAAUAUAUUUCAAAAAACCAAAUAAAUGAGUCUGUAUGGUUAGGGUGUAGUGAAAGAGGUGCCCUCGUGUUGCUAGAGUAUAAACAUCCUUUCUGCAAAGCAAUCUGAUAAAAUAUUAGAAGCCUUAAAGUAUUUUCAUCUCCUUUACCUGGAAUUCUAUUGUUUUAACUCUACCCUAAGCAGAGAAUCAGAAGUGUGAUUAAAGAUUUAGGUACAAUUGGUGGAAUAUUUAAUAAAAAAAUUGUGUGUGUGUGUGUGUGUGUGUGUGUGUGUGUGUGUGUGUUGCAGAUUAAGUGGCAAAAUCAUGGAAUGUCUGGAAUUUGCCUCAUCAUAAACUAGGAGAGGAAAAAUCGAUUGAAGCUGGAUGAUGGAUACAUAUACCAUUUAUACUCAGAAAAAAAAUUUACGGAAGACAACAGCCCCCCAUCUAUGACAGGUCCCUUAUUAUUGUCACUGUCAGAGGUGGGUCACUGGUCUAAUCAGCCAACGGAACCAAUGUGAGCCAGUAACAGUUUGGAGUCAUAUAUUAGGACAUCAUUGGCCGAGAGGAAAUCAAACUGUUAGCUUGGUAAUUUAUACCCUAUACUUCUGCAGGGCACAACCAGUUGUAUUUUUGUGAGACACUUCCAUUAUCCAGUGAUGGAAGUAUGUGAAAACAUGUGUCCAUCCAUCAUCCAGCUUCAAUCCAUUUUUCCUCUUCUAGUCUAGUUUAUUUUGGGGCAAAUUCCAGACAUUGCAUGAUUUUAUCACUUAAUCUGGAAGACACACACACACACACACACACACACACACAAUUUUUUAUCAAAUUAACAGCUCUGCC